GGAAAUCUCACCAGGCCCGGACAAUGGAAGGAUUGACACCUCUUUCUUGAUUCGUGGGGUGGUGGUGCAUGGCCGUUCUUAGUUGGUGGAGUGAUUUGUCUGGUUAAUUCCGUUAACGAACGAGACCUUAACCUACUAAAUAGUUUGCAAUCUCACCGAUUGCAAUUCUUCUUAGAGGGACUAUAUGUGUUAAGCAUAUGGAAGUUUGAGGCAAUAA
RNAcentral lists this ribosomal RNA (217 nucleotides) under uncultured eukaryote. Its description in RNAcentral is "partial 18S ribosomal RNA". It matches the Rfam family "Eukaryotic small subunit ribosomal RNA", at positions 1208 to 1456 of the family's 1831-position model. The record is from RNAcentral.